RNAcentral lists this long non-coding RNA (2835 nucleotides) under Papio anubis (olive baboon). Its description in RNAcentral is "lncRNA (ENSPANG00000050165.1)". The record is from RNAcentral. Lineage: Eukaryota; Metazoa; Chordata; Mammalia; Primates; Cercopithecidae.
AUGGCUAAGGAGACCCACACACCAGUGAAGCCCAAAGAAAAUACGAAACAACCAAUUGUAAGCACGAAAAAGCCAACCCCGAGAACCAAAGAGAAGAAGGAAAAGAAGAACUCUUGUCAACAAAAGACCAACAAAACUGGCAAGGUGGAGAAGAAAAUCACAAAGGUAAAAAAACCCCUUCAAAGGAAUUCAAGAAAGAAAACUCAAUCACCUCCUUCCUGCUCCAAAAAGCCUAGGAUAACAAUGAGACCAACAAUAUUUGUGUGUCACCACAAGCAGAAUAAGACGCAAACUAAAACUCAGAAGAGCAAGCACAAAAUACAACGGAAAAUAAAAAUCACAAGAGCAAGCCCAGAAGCCAUUGGCAACAGCAAACCAUCCCAAGUAACCAUCUCUGCUGCCAGUAAAUGCAGAGCCUGGAUCAGAAAUGUACAACUAGCAACAGCAUCUCCAUAGGCAACUCUGGGGAAUCACCCAUCACAUAAAGGCCGAAUCUGAGACCAAGAGUGUUCCACCAUGUUGAUGAACGCAAUAAAAUCAGCACAAUGUGAAAAGAUGAUGUGGACUUUGUCUGUAGUGGGGAGGGGGUUAAGGAAGAAAAACUGGUAAGAGGGAGAGAGGCAGGGUCCUGCAUGGUUGGGGGCCAGACCAACAGGUAUACAGUUACCCAUCGGGGGGGAUAAGGAGUGGGUGAGGACUAAGAAAUGAAGACUAAUGAACACUUUGCCGCCACAGACAAGAAGGAAAAGGGUUUUGGUGUUUCUACAUGUAUUUAGGGUAGGUGUGGGUAGCAACAUCAAGGUCUGAAUUCCCAGAACCCAGUUAGGAAGAGGGUUUCAUGUGUGAUGUGUGUGGCAAUAACACACUGCACAAAAAGACACUAAAACCACCUCCAGAUUACCCGCGUCACAGUGGUGUCUGUUGUACCCCACACUAUGCUGUAAGCAAGUAAAGGCCCUCAGGAGGACCCAGAACUCAUCCUGUCAAGAGUCACUCCAGCAGCCUGAAAGACAAAUGGUGGAGUCUGGAGGCCACAAACCCAGCGCUAAUUAGGCCACUUUCUUGUUAAGUAGCUUAGGAUGGAGCAGUGGCCUACCAAGCGUGGGGGCAGUGGCAGAGGUCUGCCCACUUGCUGGCCAUAAAGAGAAACAUUGUGUGCGGAGAAUUUUUUUUUUUUUUUUGAUUUUGAGAUGGAGUCUCGCUCUAUUGCCCAGGCUGGAGUGCAGUGGCCGGAUCUCAGCUCACUGCAAGCUCUGCCUCCCGGGUUUUACGCCAUUCUCCUGCCUCAGCCUCCCGAGUAGCUGGGACUACAGGCGCCUGCCACCACGCCCGGCUAGUUUUUUUGUAUUUUUUUAGUAGAGACGGGGUUUCACCGUGUUAGCCAGGAUGGUCUCGAUCUCCUGACCUCGUGAUCCGCCCGUCUCGGCCUCCCAAAGUGCUGGGAUUACAGGCUUGAGCCACCGCACCCUGCCGAGAAUUGUAAUAUAAGAAUAAUAAAACCCAGUAAAAGUCAGUCUUUUACUUAUUAGCAUCACAUACAAGUUUUCAACUUUUCUCCCCCCACAUCCUCUUUUGGUCUGAGCUGUAAAAGAUUGCUGUGGUUACAUUUAAGCUUGAAGAAAAUCUAUGUAAGGUGCGAAUUCACUGAUUUUUAAUAUUUCUGUUUUAAUAAUCAUUUGAUUCUACAGGGAAGUUAAUUUGGAUAAAUCCUCAUUAAAUAGUUGGUCCAAGACAUAGGCUGUUCCCUUCUAAAGUAAGCUCUGAACAAUUUGGAAAUGUUUUGAUGCGGAACAGGGAAGCCCCACACUUGGGGCUUAGGUGGGAGGUUCUUGGCUUCACUCAGGAAAGAAUUCAAGGGCAAGCCGGUGAUGUUAAACAGCAAGUUUAAUUGAAGCAGAAGUGUGCGGAGCAGCAGAGGAACUGUUCCUGCUUCUUGCAGAGCAAGGCUGCCCCAUGGGCAGUGUCCCCAGAAUAGCAGCUCAGAGGCAGUUCUGCACUCAUGCUGAUUCCCACUUUCAAUUAUAUUCACAUUAAGGAGCAAUUUAUGCAGCAAUUUCUAGGAUGAGGGUGGUAACUUCCAGGUUGUCAGGUCAUUGCCAUGGAAGGGGGCAGUAACUCCUGGGUGUUGCCAUGGAAUAGUAAAUUGACAUGACACAUUGGUAGACAAGGCUUAAGGAAAGCUGCUUCUGCCCUAGACCUGGUUUAGCCAGUCCUCAAUUCGGUCGGCUGUCCAAGCCCCGCCUCUGGAGUCAAGUCCUGCCUCCUACCUCCGUUUGAGCUUGCUUUGAGCAUACUUCCAGACUGCAGUCCCUGUGGUAAUAUAUGAUACAUAUGUCUACACUUUCAAAGUACACAAAAUUAAAAAUUACAGCAUGUGAUUAUAAAGACAAAGAAAAACCAGAGUUACCGCAGCUCUGUGAUUCUGUGUGAUCACUUGCUUUUAUUGGUGUCUAAAUCAGUGAAACGAAGUGUUAAAUUUAAGGAGUAAAAUUUGGGGGGAUAAAGACGUUUUUAUUACAUUUGAAAAUAAAAGACUUUACUGAAUUUGAACAAUAUACUCAAGCAUGAAAUGUAUUCUUUAAUUGCUCAUUAAUACUACGUAAAAAUCAAAAUGCUAAAAUGUUAUAUCAGUUGCAUAAUUUAGUAGUUGCCUACAUUUUACUUUUACAUGUUUUAAUUUUCUUAAAAUUGUCUUAUGAUUUUUACUAUGACAACUAUAUGCAAAAUGUUUUAUAGAGAAAAUCUACACUUUAUUUUCUUUCUGGUUAUAAUUAUUUGUGUUAAUUCAUGUGUAUUACUAAAAACAUAUUCUGUUGAGGAAGGGGCAUUAAAAAU